Molecule: ribosomal RNA, 253 nt
Filed under: uncultured bacterium
Lineage: Bacteria
Description: partial 16S ribosomal RNA
Rfam family: Bacterial small subunit ribosomal RNA
Source: RNAcentral
UACGUAGGGUGCGAGCGUUGUCCGGAAUUAUUGGGCGUAAAGAGCUUGUAGGCGGUUUGUCGCGUCUGCCGUGAAAAUCCGGGGCUCAACCCCGGACUUGCGGUGGGUACGGGCAGACUAGAGUGUGGUAGGGGAGACUGGAAUUCCUGGUGUAGCGGUGAAAUGCGCAGAUAUCGGGAAGAACACCCGUGGCGAAGGCGGCUCUCUGGGACGGUACUGACGCUGAGACGCGAAAGCGUGAGGAGCGAACAGG